This is a small nuclear RNA of Peromyscus maniculatus bairdii (prairie deer mouse), 103 nucleotides long. Lineage: Eukaryota; Metazoa; Chordata; Mammalia; Rodentia; Cricetidae. The record is from Ensembl.
GCUCUAUCUGGCAGUGUGAAUACUAAAAUUUGAAUAAUACAGAGACUUCGUAUGGCCCCUGUGUAAGUAUGACGUGUAAAUUUAUGAAGUGUUCUAUAUUUUU